This 276-nucleotide long non-coding RNA is filed under the name Elaeis guineensis (African oil palm). Its description in RNAcentral is "long non-coding RNA (EGUI_LNC034586)". The record is from RNAcentral. Lineage: Eukaryota; Viridiplantae; Streptophyta; Magnoliopsida; Arecales; Arecaceae.
UAUCCGGACAAGGCAUGCUCAAUCGAUCAAGAGUCGUGCCCUGGAAAGCAUCCUUAGCUAGAAGAAGUUGCCCUGCAGGUGCCCCUCAUCUGCUGGAUUCAAUGGCCCUCGCUUUCUUCAAGGGACCCUCAACGGCCAAAGCUGCCCUUCUCUUGAAAAUAUUUUUCUUCAACCUUGCUAAGACAUUAGGCUCCAUAUCUACAAUAAUAUGGUAAGAAUUAGAAGUGCAAGGAGAAAGCAAAGAAAAGGCCACUAUUUUCUACUCAUCCUCAGGGA